CAUCAACAGCUUCCUUAUUCGAGCAAGGUGAGCUUACUGUUGCCGAGUGCAGUAGUUGAUUUAUUCUUCUCUGUGUUUAUAUUAUGUUAAAAGAUUAUCUUAAGCUGUACCUGCUUUAAGUAUUCUGUCAUAUUUAUUUUACAUAAUUUAUCAUAUACAUUUCCGGGUGUCUGUGGCUGUAAUAUUAAUAGUUCAACUGUAGUUUGUCAGUAUCUAGCUUCAAAAGGUCACAGUAAUGCUACUUACAUAACAUGAGGAGACAAUGGUCUAUGUACUGACAAGCACCAAAUAUGCCCAUAAUAUAGUUUCAGCUGUAGUUGGUCUUUGGAAAUAGGUAUAUGUGAAAAUAAAGAAGUAUGUUUGUUGGCAUAUCCUUCUACUAAUUAGUCCUUGUAGCAAAAAAAAUUAUUCUCCUCGGUGACAUUUUCUAUUUAAGCUCAGCACAUGGAGUGGUUAUAUUCCCCUUGCGCUUGUGGUUUGCUAGCUGGCGAUAAUUCUAAUCAUUGCGAUGCAUUAGUUGCUCCAGAAUAUAAUACAUACAUCAAUAAUUUAUGACUGAAACGGAAUCCUAUUUGUCAAGCCCCUAAUUUCUGCUGGGGCUUGCAGAUUAAACCUCUGUUUUAGCACAUUCUAGAAACAAACAUAUGUUGUUAAUUGGUAUUUGAUGGCUUAACCAUACAGAUAAAUAACUCGUUAUGAUUUCUAGAUUGUAUGUAUCACCGACGUUUCCCUAUGGUCAUGUGAUCUUGUCACUUCCGGGUUUCCAUGUAUACAUUGCUUAUGUUGGAUUUCCCCCCUCCAAACUGCAAGAAAUGUAACUUUACACCAUAGGACGAUCAUUCUCGUUGAAGAAAGGUCGUGUUGGUGGCCUUAUCUGUGGGCACAGCAGUGAAGCCCUCAUGCUUGAGGGGCUGGCCUGUGCGUGGCCUCCGAGGUUGGUCGCUGCUGCAACUGCGUGUUAUAGCUCUCCAGGUUUGGAAAAGGAAUCUCACAAGAAAUCGAGAGACGGAAGAUGUAUGCAAGGUACUUGGAGAUGACGAGCAAGUAUCUAGAGGCACAAAAAACAAAACAUUCGCCACUGAGAGGAGAAUGCCUAGCAAUUAUUUGACAAUUGGAAAAACCAGCAUCACGUCUAUCACUCGAGAGGCACAAGGGAAUUUCCAGCUGAUUUAAUUGAAGCUGUACAGAUGAUUGCGUGAAUUGAAUUAUUAAUCUCGAUGUAAAUGUCAUACGGUGUAGCUUUGUACUAUCACUCCUGAACAUACAUUACUCGCCAUGGUGAUGUUGGUAUUUUUCUGUGUGGUGUUAUUGUGCCAAACAAUAUUUCGUUUCUUUUUU
Lolium rigidum is the source of this 1338-nucleotide long non-coding RNA. RefSeq lists it as uncharacterized. NCBI's taxonomy places the organism in Eukaryota, Viridiplantae, Streptophyta, Magnoliopsida, Poales, Poaceae. The record is from RefSeq and is a predicted model, not a curated record. The transcript is spliced from 3 exons.